Molecule: non-coding RNA, 134 nt
Organism: Triticum aestivum (bread wheat)
Lineage: Eukaryota; Viridiplantae; Streptophyta; Magnoliopsida; Poales; Poaceae
Source: Rfam
AAGGUACUCCCUUCGUCCGGAAUAUUUGUCAUCAAAAUGGAUAAAAGAGGAUGUAUCUAGACGUAUUUUAGUUCUAGAGACAUCCCAUUUUACCAAUUUUGAUGAUAAGUAUUUUCGGACGGAGGGAGUAUAAA